Long non-coding RNA from Zingiber officinale, 226 nucleotides. RefSeq lists it as uncharacterized. The record is from RefSeq and is a predicted model, not a curated record. The transcript is spliced from 2 exons. NCBI's taxonomy places the organism in Eukaryota, Viridiplantae, Streptophyta, Magnoliopsida, Zingiberales, Zingiberaceae.
AUUGUGUGAUGCGGUACAUGAAAGAGAUAGUCUUGGAUGAAGAUUCACAAUUGGAGAGAAAGUUUGCAGCAUCAAAAAAUAAACAGUAUUACAAUCAAUCUCAGUAUGAUGAAGUCAGAAGUGAAUGGAGUGAAUUCGUCUAUUUCUAUGUGGGUGCCUAAGUGUAGGCUAUGAUAUAAAUUGUAGACAUGUAUUUAGAGAUUUAUGUACAAAAGUUUUUGGGUUA